This 1059-nucleotide ribosomal RNA is filed under the name Narceus americanus. Its description in RNAcentral is "partial 16S large subunit ribosomal RNA". The stretch from base 522 to 1059 matches the Rfam family "Archaeal large subunit ribosomal RNA", at positions 1423 to 2614 of the family's 2987-position model. The record is from RNAcentral. Lineage: Eukaryota; Metazoa; Arthropoda; Diplopoda; Spirobolida; Spirobolidae.
AAAAAUUAUUUACAAUGAAUAAUAUAAGCUAUUUAGUAUGAGUAGGCAAGUUUGAAAUGUAGUGAUUAAUAUAGAGUACUGUAAAGGAGGUUUAAUUAGGAAAAAGAUUUUAUUGUUAAGUUACCUUUUGUAUUAGGGACGUUUAAGAUAAAAGUUUAGAUAAAUUAUCCCGAAUUGCUUGUGGGCUAACUAGGAUUUUACUAUUGUUGCAUAAAUGAAACUAAUUUCUAGUUAGUGAUGAAAUAUUAGUCAAACGGCAUGAUAUCUGGUUUUUUUAUAAGUAAAUUGAAUUUAUAGAAUUAUUAAUUCUUAAAGUAUUGUUAGGAUUAGCUAAUAGUAAGUCUAUAUUAUGUAAAGAAGUUUUCUUAGGUAGGUUUAAUAAUGAUUAUUCAUUAAAUUUUAUUAUUAUUUAAGUGGGAAAUUAAAUUAUUAAAAUGAUAUUUGGGUUAUAUAAAAAUAUGGGAUAUGAUAAGUUAUUCAUAUAAAUAUUGAGUGUAUUAGUAGCUUGUAUUGUGUUUGAUUUAAUGAACAUGAGAAGGGAAUUGAAGUGAUAUUAUGUGUUGUUAAGGAACUCGGCAAAGUAAUCUUGCCUGUUUAAUAAAAACAUGGUUCUUUGGAUUUUAAUAGAGAAUCUGGCCUGCCCACUGAAUUAAGUUAAAGGGCUGCAGUAUUUUGACUGUACAAAGGUAGCAUAAUCAUUAGUCUUUUAAUUGAGGACUGGAAUGAAUGGUUUGACAGGAUUACACUGUCUCAGUAAUAAUGAGUUAAUUUUACGUCCUUGUGAAAAGGCAAGGAUAAUUUAUAGGGACGAGAAGACCCUAUAAAACUUAAUUUUAAUAGGUGUAUUAUUUAGACGAUUAAUUUAAUAUAUUCGUUAAGGGUUUGCUGGGGCGGUAUUUAUUUUACAUAAAUUUUAUUAAAUAGUGAUGAUUAGCUUAAUAAAUGAUCCGGUAUUUUGGUCGAUAAAAAGAAGAAGUUACUUUAGGGAUAACAGCGUAAUGAUUUUUGAGAGUUCUUAUUGACGGAAUUGUUUGCGACCUCGAUGUUGGAUUAAGGAAU